UGGGGAAUUUUGGACAAUGGGCGCAAGCCUGAUCCAGCCAUGCCGCGUGCGGGAAGAAGGCCUUCGGGUUGUAAACCGCUUUUGUCAGGGAAGAAAUCUUCUGAGUUAAUACCUCGGGAGGAUGACGGUACCUGAAGAAUAAGCACCGGCUAACUACGUGCCAGCAGCCGCGGUAAUACGUAGGGUGCAAGCGUUAAUCGGAAUUACUGGGCGUAAAGCGUGCGCAGGCGGUUUUGUAAGACAGAGGUGAAACCCCCGGGCUCAACCUGGGAACUGCCUUUGUGACUGCAAGGCUUGAGUGCGGCAGAGGGGGAUGGAAUUCCGCGUGUAGCAGUGAAAUGCGUAGAUAUGCGGAGGAACACCGAUGGCGAAGGCAAUCCCCUGGGCCUGCACUGACGCUCAUGCACGAAAGCGUGGGGAGCAAAACAGGAUUAGAUACCCUGGUAGUCCACGCCCUAAACGAUGUCAACUGGUUGUUGGGAAGGUUCCUUCUCAGUAACGUAGCUAACGCGUGAAGUUGACCGCCUGGGGAGUACGGCCGCAAGGUUGAAACUCAAAUGAAUUGACGGGGUCAUAGC
This 578-nucleotide ribosomal RNA is filed under the name uncultured bacterium. Its description in RNAcentral is "partial 16S ribosomal RNA". It matches the Rfam family "Bacterial small subunit ribosomal RNA", at positions 355 to 925 of the family's 1533-position model. The record is from RNAcentral.